RNAcentral lists this ribosomal RNA (410 nucleotides) under uncultured bacterium. RNAcentral describes it as "bacterial SSU rRNA". It matches the Rfam family "Bacterial small subunit ribosomal RNA", at positions 370 to 772 of the family's 1533-position model. The record is from RNAcentral.
AAUGGGGGCAACCCUGAUCCAGCCAUGCCGCGUGAGUGAAGAAGGCCUUCGGGUUGUAAAGCUCUUUCGGACGGAAAGAAAUCGCGCAGGUAAAUAAUCUGCGUGGAUGACGGUACCGUAAGAAGAAGCACCGGCUAACUACGUGCCAGCAGCCGCGGUAAUACGUAGGGUGCGAGCGUUAAUCGGAAUUACUGGGCGUAAAGCGUGCGCAGGCGGCUUUGUAAGACAGGUGUGAAAUCCCCGGGCUUAACCUGGGAAUGGCGCUUGUGACUGCAAGGCUCGAGUGCGGCAGAGGGGGGUGGAAUUCCACGUGUAGCAGUGAAAUGCGUAGAGAUGUGGAGGAACACCGAUGGCGAAGGCAGCCCCCUGGGUCGACACUGACGCUCAUGCACGAAAGCGUGGGGAGCAAA